This 460-nucleotide ribosomal RNA is filed under the name uncultured bacterium. RNAcentral describes it as "partial 16S ribosomal RNA". It matches the Rfam family "Bacterial small subunit ribosomal RNA", at positions 338 to 795 of the family's 1533-position model. The record is from RNAcentral.
CCUACGGGAGGCAGCAGUGAGGAAUAUUGGUCAAUGGACGAGAGUCUGAACCAGCCAAGUAGCGUGAAGGAUGACUGCCCUAUGGGUUGUAAACUUCUUUUAUAUGGGAAUAAAAUGUUCCACGUGUGGGAUUUUGUAUGUACCAUAUGAAUAAGGAUCGGCUAACUCCGUGCCAGCAGCCGCGGUAAUACGGAGGAUCCGAGCGUUAUCCGGAUUUAUUGGGUUUAAAGGGAGCGUAGGUGGAUUGUUAAAUCAGUUGUGAAAGUUUGCGGCUCAACCGUAAAAUUGCAGUUGAAACUGGCAGUCUUGAGUACAGUAGAGGUGGGCGGAAUUCGUGGUGUAGCGGUGAAAUGCUUAGAUAUCACGAAGAACUCCGAUUGCGAAGGCAGUUCACUGGACUGCAACUGACACUGAGGCUCGAAAGUGUGGGUAUCAAACAGGAUUAGAUACCCGAGUAGUC